This 421-nucleotide ribosomal RNA is filed under the name uncultured eukaryote. RNAcentral describes it as "SSU rRNA". It matches the Rfam family "Eukaryotic small subunit ribosomal RNA", at positions 592 to 1018 of the family's 1831-position model. The record is from RNAcentral.
CAAUAGCGUAUAUUAAAGUUGUUGCGGUUAAAAAGACUCGUAGUUGGAUUUCUGUUGGGAACGACCGGUCCGCCCAUUGGGUGUGCAUCUGGCUUGUUCUCGGCAUCUUCUUGGUGAACGUUGCUGCACUUGACUGUGUGGAGCGCUACCCAGGACUUUUACUUUGAGGAAAUUAGAGUGUUUCAAGCAGGCAUAUGCCUUGAAUACAUUAGCAUGGAAUAAUAGAAUAGGACCUCGGUUCUAUUUGUUGGUUUCUAGAGCUGAGGUAAUGAUUAAUAGGGAUAUUGGGGGCGAUUCGUAUUUAACUGUCAGAGGUGAAUUACUUGGAUUAUGAAAGACUAACUACUGCGAAAGCAUUUGCCAAGGAUGUUUUCAUUAAUCAAGAACGAAAGUUAGGGGAUCGAAGACGAUCAGAUAUCAU